Molecule: ribosomal RNA, 492 nt
Filed under: uncultured bacterium
Lineage: Bacteria
Description: partial 16S ribosomal RNA
Rfam family: Bacterial small subunit ribosomal RNA
Source: RNAcentral
AGUGAACGCUGGCGGUAGGCCUAACACAUGCAAGUCGAACGGCAGCACAGUAAGAGCUUGCUCUUACGGGUGGCGAGUGGCGGACGGGUGAGGAAUACAUCGGAAUCUACUUUUUCGUGGGGGAUAACGUAGGGAGACUUACGCUAAUACCGCAUACGACCUACGGGUGAAAGCAGGGGAUCUUCGGACCUUGCGCGAUUGAACGAGCCGAUGUCGGAUUAGCUAGUUGGCGGGGUAAAGGCCCACCAAGGCGACGAUCCGUAGCUGGUCUGAGAGGAUGAUCAGCCACACUGGAACUGAGACACGGUCCAGACUCCUACGGGAGGCAGCAGUGGGGAAUAUUGGACAAUGGGCGCAAGCCUGAUCCAGCCAUACCGCGUGGGUGAAGAAGGCCUUCGGGUUGUAAAGCCCUUUUGUUGGGAAAGAAAAGCAGCAGGUUAAUACCCCGCUGCUCUGACGGUACCCAAAGAAUAAGCACCGGCUAACUUCGUG